CCUACGGGUGGCUGCAGUGAGGAAUAUUGGUCAAUGGCCGUAAGGCUGAACCAGCCAAGUCGCGUGAAGGAAGAAGGAUCUCUGGUUUGUAAACUUCUUUUAUAGGGGAAUAAAGGUAUCCACGUGUGGAUAUUUGCAUGUACCCUAUGAAUCAGCAUAGGCUAACUCCGUGCCAGCAGCCGCGGUAAUACGGAGGAUGCGAGCGUUAUCCGGAUUUAUUGGGUUUAAAGGGUCCGUAGGUUGUUUUUUAAGUCAGCGGUGAAAGUUUGUGGCUCAACCAUAAAAUUGCCGUUGAAACUGGAAGACUUGAGUGUGGUAGAGGUAGGCGGAAUGCGUGGUGUAGCGGUGAAAUGCGUAGAGAUCACGCAGAACUCCGAUUGCGAAGGCAGCUUACUAGGCCAUAACUGACGCUGAAGCACGAAAGCGUGGGGAUCAAACAGGAUUAGAUACCCGUGUAGUC
This 460-nucleotide ribosomal RNA is filed under the name uncultured bacterium. RNAcentral's name for it is "partial 16S ribosomal RNA". It matches the Rfam family "Bacterial small subunit ribosomal RNA", at positions 338 to 795 of the family's 1533-position model. The record is from RNAcentral.